RNAcentral lists this ribosomal RNA (396 nucleotides) under Triticum aestivum (bread wheat). RNAcentral's name for it is "partial small subunit ribosomal RNA". Lineage: Eukaryota; Viridiplantae; Streptophyta; Magnoliopsida; Poales; Poaceae. The record is from RNAcentral.
AUGAUUGAUGCAAACUUCAGAAUCAUGUCCUGGAACGUGAGGGGCCUAAAUUCACCGGCAAAGCGCACGGCCGUCUGCGAGGUUGCCCACGCAAAUAAAAUUGCGAUUCUUAACCUGCAGGAAACUAAGAUCGAGUCCUGGACCACACAGCUAGCAGUAGAAGUAGGAGGGCCUUCGCUUCAGGGUUGCGUCGUACUACCUGCGAUAGGUACUAGAGGUGGUGCCGCCAUUUUCUGGGAUAAACAUCUGGUCAACGUAGUUACGCACAUGAUUGCUAGCUUCUCCAUUACGGUUAUGGUAGAGAUCAUCGGCAGCGGCGAGUUCUUUUGGAUGACAACUGUCUACGGUCCUUCGGAGGAUGAGCAAAAGGAAAACUUCCUAACUGAACUAGUGUAA